AAUGAGAAAUAAGAAUUGGACAGAGGGGGAAGUUGAACGUCAGUGUGCAAUUCUAACAGGUCUUAGCCAGUCCUUCAAGAGCCCAGGAGCUAGAAUGGCUCUUCCAAGUUUUCCAGAAUUGAGACAAAAAGGCCAGGUCUUCGUACAUCUGCAUAGACCAGUUCUUUGAUGUGAGCUAACUCCAGUAAGAGGGUAUAACCUUGAGCAAAGCAGCUCCCUUUAUUCUAGAGCAAUCUCCAAAGUGGUACUCAGCCAUGAAAUGUCUACAGCCAAUACUUCUCGCAGGUGUGGAAAUGCACGCUUCAGACCUGAAGGGGCAACGCAGAAGGCAUACCACAGCAUCCACCACAUGCUUCCACAACAAUAAAAAAUAGUUUGGAUAUUACUUAGCUUAAUAGUUCGAAGAUGUGUCUGUAAAAGUCAGCAUAAUGUUCAGUGACCAGCAACUGCUGAGAUGGUAGCUGCUUCGUCAGGUACAUGAGUCCUCAGUUGACCCACAUGGAUAUAUUGUUGUUUCUGUUUCUACAGCAAAACCUAGCCUUCCCUGACAUCCAAAUCUCCAAAGGACAAGUUGUAUGUGAAAAUGAAGACCAAACUAGGUCAUUUCAAACCUCAGUCACCUUCAGAGAGAUUCUAGGAAGGGCACACUAAGAGUCAGCAAAGAGACGACAUUCCUGGAUUCCUGACUUGUUGUCCAGAUCUGCUACUGAAUCAGAUUCAGCUGGGUGGCGAGUGCGGAGUGGGUACUGCUACUGGCAUCUGGUGGGUAGAGGCCACGGACACUGCUUAACAUUCUACAGUGCACAGGAGAGGUCCCUACAACAGAGAAAUAUUCUCCCGAAAGUUUCAGUAGUGCUAAGUUUGAGUAAUUCUGCUCUUCACCAUCAAGUUUCCUUCUCUUGGAGCCUGCUACCAGCCAAUGACAUCAGGAUCUAACCUGAGACGAACCUAGGUGUUCUAUACGGCAGCCUGGUGUACUGAAGAGUGCCUAAGGUUUGCAAGCUCGCUAGCUGUGGCUCCCCCUCUCGCUAGCUUGAGCUAGUUAUUUAAACCCUUAGA
RNAcentral lists this long non-coding RNA (1059 nucleotides) under Homo sapiens (human). RNAcentral's name for it is "HSALNT0313154". The record is from RNAcentral. Lineage: Eukaryota; Metazoa; Chordata; Mammalia; Primates; Hominidae.